Molecule: ribosomal RNA, 450 nt
Filed under: uncultured bacterium
Lineage: Bacteria
Description: bacterial SSU rRNA
Rfam family: Bacterial small subunit ribosomal RNA
Source: RNAcentral
GUGGGGAAUAUUGGACAAUGGGGGCAACCCUGAUCCAGCCAUGCCGCGUGUGUGAAGAAGGCCUUCGGGUUGUAAAGCACUUUUGUUGGGGAAGAAAAGCAACCGGUCAAUACCCGGGUGUUCUGACGGUACCCAAAGAAUAAGCACCGGCUAACUUCGUGCCAGCAGCCGCGGUAAUACGAAGGGUGCAAGCGUUACUCGGAAUUACUGGGCGUAAAGCGUGCGUAGGCGGUUUGUUAAGUCUGUCGUGAAAGCCCCGGGCUCAACCUGGGAAUGGCGAUGGAAACUGGCGAGCUAGAGUACGGUAGAGGAGAGUGGAAUUCCCGGUGUAGCAGUGAAAUGCGUAGAGAUCGGGAGGAACAUCAGUUGCGAAGGCGGCUCUCUGGACCAGUACUGACGCUGAGGCACGAAAGCGUGGGGAGCAAACAGGAUUAGAUACCCGAGUAGUCC